AGAACGAACGCUGGCGGCAUGCCUAAUACAUGCAAGUCGAGCGAACACUUCGGUGUUAGUGGCGCACGGGUGCGUAACGCGUGGGAAUCUGCCCUUGGGUUCGGAAUAACAGUUGGAAGCGACUGCUAAUACCGGAUGAUAUCGAAAGAUCAAAGAUUUAUCGCCCAGGGAUGAGCCCGCGUAGGAUUAGCUAGUUGGUGAGGUAAAGGCUCACCAAGGCGACGAUCCUUAGCUGGUCUGAGAGGAUGAUCAGCCACACUGGGACUGAGACACGGCCCAGACUCCUACGGGAGCAGCAGUAGGGAAUAUUGGACAAGUGGGACGCAAGCCUAGAUCCAGGCAAGUGACCGCGUGAGUGAGUGAAGGCCGUUAGGGUUGUAAAGUCUCUUUACCGAG
Molecule: ribosomal RNA, 396 nt
Filed under: uncultured soil bacterium
Lineage: Bacteria
Description: bacterial SSU rRNA
Rfam family: Bacterial small subunit ribosomal RNA
Source: RNAcentral